This 412-nucleotide unclassified non-coding RNA is filed under the name soil metagenome. RNAcentral's name for it is "partial contains 5.8S ribosomal RNA, internal transcribed spacer 2, and large subunit ribosomal RNA". The stretch from base 1 to 119 matches the Rfam family "5.8S ribosomal RNA", at positions 35 to 154 of the family's 154-position model. The record is from RNAcentral.
GAUGAAGAACGUAGCGAAAUGCGAUAGUAAUGUGAAUUGCAGAAUUCAGUGAAUCAUCGAAUCUUUGAACGCACCUUGCGCUCUUUGGUAUUCCGAAGAGCAUGCCUGUUUGAGUGUCAUGAAAAUAUCAACCUUGACUUGGGUUUUGUGCUCUAGUCUCGGCUUGGAAUUGGGUGCUUGCCGCUUUUACGAGCGGCUCACCUUAAAUGUAUUAGCUGGAUCUGUCUUUGAGACUUGGUUUGACUUGGCGUAAUAAGUAUUUCGCUAAGGACAUUCUUCGGAGUGGCCUCGUUUCUAGGACGCUUGUCCGCUUUCCAAUACAAGUUCCACCUCGUGGACAUGACUUUUUAUUAUCUGGCCUCAAAUCAGGUAGGACUACCCGCUGAACUUAAGCAUAUCAAUAAGCGGAGGA